UCUAUAAUGUAGCCUACUAAAGACGGUUUCAAGCCCGUGUAAAUACAGAGAAUAGA
This 56-nucleotide non-coding RNA is filed under the name unclassified sequences. The record is from RNAcentral.